ACAUGAAAGAUGGGACAGAAAUCUGGCCAAAAGUUCAAGACAAGGGAAAUUAAUACUCUAAAGGCAGAGAUGCCAUAUAUUUUCUUCCCACUACAGUGCAGUGUGGGGCAACCUUCAAGUCUAAGAGAAUAGCUUUUCAUUUCCAAAAGAAUGAAUCUGGAAAACUGACCUGGGCAAUUGUUGUCAUCAAAACUCACAUGGCAGGAGUGUUAUCUACAGGGACAUUAGUGGGACAUGUGAAUGAAAGCAAAUGGAGCUAGAGGGUGAACUUAGGUUUUCCCUUGAUUCUAGUACCAAGGGUUGGCUUCAGCAGGUGUGUGCUUUGGAUGGAUCUGUCAGCCUUGCUGAGUAACUGUGACUGUCUGAAAUGAGGUUUCAGUGGGGGGAACUCUACUCACUGCCAAGAGCUUGUUAGAAAUAGACUCUUGGUGGCAAUACUGAAGGGGUGUGAACCAGUAAGUACACAGUGGACAUAUUGUUCACCAUUGCAGGAAUUUGCAAGGCCCCAGGCUGUGCUUCAGGGCAUGAUGGGAGGACUUUGGUUGUUUAUUCUCUGCUUUGUCAGCUCAAAGCUGCCUCCUCGGGGAACAUUUGUGCUUUUUGUUUCCUUUUUUGCUUUUGUUUGCACAGAUCACAGACAGGGAAUUGUUCUAUAAUCACUCGUGCUGGGCACACAGUUCCUGCUCUCAGCUUCUCUGGCUCCCAUCUCUGGGCUGGCAGGUAAGUGACCUGCAGGCAUCCUACUUUGAAACUGCUGACUCUUCCAUUUCCUUCUUCAUGGGCUUCCUUGGCCAAUGGCCAGUUUGAAGAGUGUGCUCUUGAUACCAAUCCUGAGUCAUGUCAGCCCUGCUCCCAGCUAGCUAUUGGUGUGGCUCUGGUCAAUGUCUUAACCUCCCUGUCCUCUUUAGUCUGUUAAAGGCAGACAAUGAAAACACUCCUUGCUCUAUAGUAGAGAUUAAAUGAAGACAGAUGAAAUGCCAAUGGCAUAAAACAAGUUUUAGUAACAUUGGUUUCCUUUUCUUCUUUUACCCUUUUGAGGGUCUCUCCCAACCUGGGAACACCAUUGGAAGACCAUCUCACUUUAGUCUGUAUGAAUAGUGUCACUAAACUGGAGGAGGGAGCUACAUUGGAAAUAGAAAAAAAAAUUAUCACCAUUUUGUGAAUACAUCUGAUACAAACAUAAGAGAUGGGGAGGACUGUCUCCUUUUCAAGCAACCAUUAGUGUGCUUGGUACACAUAGAUAUCAGCAGAUUGUGUUGAUGAAUUCACUAGGACUCACACAACACUACUGUGCCCAGCCCCACCAGUACUCCAACAACCAGAGAAAUUGUCAACCUUUUACAAAGCUCUGUCCCAUAUUUCAUUCAGCUUCCACUGAGGUCUGCAGAGCUACCUUGAAGAGCUUCCUUUGUGGAAGACUUAGGGCUUUCUUUGUUUACAGAAAUACUGAAGCUGGUGGAAAACUUCUCUUCAGGUCACUGAUGAGAGUUUCAGCUUUGAUCACGCAUCAUAAUCAACAGAACAGUUCAAUAAAACAGAAUUCUGGCCUUUUCAGAACUGCUCAUCAGUAGUCCAUGGGGGUGGGGAUGGGGACUGAAGUCUUCAUUUCUAAUGCUUUCAAGUGAAGUUGAAGCUGUUGGUUCCAGACUCACUGAGAACAGGUCUUAUGGAAUAGAUUACAACUUCAUCUGUAUCUCAGGAUCAUUCAGGGGAGCUUUAAAAAUUCAAAGGCCAAUCUUACCCCAGGCCAAUUUGAUCUGAAUCUAUAGGGGUAGGAUCUGAACUCCAUUAUUUUAAAAUCUCCCUAGGAGACUCUUAGACACAGACAUGAUUGAUGAUCAACCUGACAGAGUUUGGAAGAUCUAGCCUCAAAGCCCAGGUGUCACUAUGGGUGGUGAGGGGUGGAUUACAUCCAUGACUUACAAAUAUGUCAUAGAACAUUGAACAUGCUCUAUUUUACUGCUGGAGAAAGGAACAUAUUCUACACAACAUUCCCUGGAAAGAGAGGACAUGGAAAUCUUGCCUCUGAACUUCUCAGGAGCAGUGUUCUUCCCACUCUGACCCUGCCAUAACUAACUUCUCAAAGUCUUCAUCAUCUCCUGAUACACCAUCAAUGAAGAACCAAUCCUGUAGACAGCCUUUGAGAGAUGUUCAAGGUUCAAACCUAGAAUGCUUCACUCUCAGCUUCCUCCUUACCUCCUAAGAGGGGGAGAGCAGCAGGGGACUGAAUUAAUCACCAGUGGUUAAUGAAUUAAUCCAUCACACUUUCACUAAAAAAGUAAUAACUAAUGAUGGAGUUCAAAAAGCUUCUGGGUUGUUGAAUACAUUUGUUUAUGGGCACCUGUCUCCAUGCCUGUUUCUUUCUACCAUGCCUGCAUGCCAUGAUAGACUCUCUAAUCUCUUUUUAAAAUUGAGAUUAUAAUAUGAUUAUGGCAUUUUCCCUUCCUAUUCAUUAUGUCAACUCUCCCUCCUCCAAUACAUCCCUUCUACUCCCCUUCAGAUUCAUAGCCUCUUUUCUUCUAGUUGUUAUUGUACACAUGUACGUAUACACAUAUAUCCAUAAUAUAGUCUGUUAAGUCCCUAUCAUGCUACCUAUAUGUAUGUUUUCAGGGAUGGUCAUUUGGCAUCGGAUGACUAAUUGGUGUGUCCUUCUCAACCCACUGGAAUUUUAAGACAAAAUAAAGUCUUUCUUCAGUAUGUUUGCCCUGGUGUUCUUAUAUAACAACAACAACAAAAAAGAAGUAACUAAUAUAGGGUAUUUUGUCACAGCAACAAGAGACAUAACAAACAGGGUCAUAUUCAUAGGUGCUGGGAACCAGGACUCCAGUAUCUUUUUGAAGAAUAUGAUUCAACCUACAGCGACACUCAUCUCCAUCAGUCAUUGCCAUGGGACAGCAUACAAUGGUAUGAAUAGAGAGCAAAUGCUCUAGUG
This 2932-nucleotide small RNA is filed under the name Rattus norvegicus (Norway rat). Its description in RNAcentral is "uncharacterized LOC108352764". The record is from RNAcentral. Lineage: Eukaryota; Metazoa; Chordata; Mammalia; Rodentia; Muridae.